UACGAAGGGGACUAGCGUUGUUCGGAAUUACUGGGCGUAAAGCGCACGUAGGCGGAUUUGUUAGUCAGGGGUGAAAUCCCGGGGCUCAACCUCGGAACUGCCUUUGAUACUGCAAAUCUCGAGUCCGAUAGGGGUGGGUGGAAUUCCUAGUGUAGAGGUGAAAUUCGUAGAUAUCAGGAGGAACACCGGUGGCGAAGGCGGCCACCUGGACGGAUACUGACGCUGAGGCGCGAAAGCGUGGGGAGCAAACAGG
Molecule: ribosomal RNA, 253 nt
Filed under: uncultured bacterium
Lineage: Bacteria
Description: partial 16S ribosomal RNA
Rfam family: Bacterial small subunit ribosomal RNA
Source: RNAcentral